UCAAAUACCGGAUCGGAUCCAUCAUGGUCAGAACUCUACCAUCUGGUUUCGUUCCUUCACACUCAGCUGAAAGAUUUUGAACAAAACGUUUUUCUUGCUGGUGAGGGAAAAAGAGAUUUUCCAGGCUUUGGUACAUUUGCAUUGAAUUUUUUUGUUCGUAUGUCGAAGGAGUUUUCUUCAAGAUCUCUCAACAUGAGCAAAGUGUUGAGGACAUAAACUCAAUUGAAGCUUAUACAAUGGAGCAUGCGUGGGAAAGCAGACAUCACUCUUACAUCUAAUUCAACGCGGAUCACCAAACAUUUACUUUUAUAGGACUCUACAUUGAGCCAAAGACUAAGAACCUGAUUGACGCAAAAACGAAACUUAUACUGGAAGAAGAAAUUAUUUCAGGAAGAUUAUAUUAUGCUUUUACACGCAAUGGUGUUCCUAUAAUAGAUUCGUUUGAUUGAAG
Molecule: long non-coding RNA, 451 nt
Organism: Ruditapes philippinarum (Manila clam)
Lineage: Eukaryota; Metazoa; Mollusca; Bivalvia; Venerida; Veneridae
Exons: 3
Source: RefSeq, a predicted model, not a curated record